This 256-nucleotide unclassified non-coding RNA is filed under the name fungal sp. RNAcentral's name for it is "partial internal transcribed spacer region". The stretch from base 1 to 45 matches the Rfam family "Eukaryotic small subunit ribosomal RNA", at positions 1787 to 1831 of the family's 1831-position model. Lineage: Eukaryota; Fungi. The record is from RNAcentral.
AGUCGUAACAAGGUAACCGUAGGUGAACCUGCGGUUGGAUCAUUAAAUAAUGAUUGAUGGGUCAGGAAUCCUUCAAGCCUUGGUUUGUCAAGGACUGACUCAUCAAUAACCCCUGUGCAACUGUCUAGUAUUUUGGGUACUGCAGUGUUUCUGAUACUGCAAUGCCCGAGCAUAUAAUAACACCAAUUGAAACUUGUCUUGUUUAAUUUAUUAAAAAUAAUGUAAACAACUUUUGACAACGGAUCUCUUGGCUCUC